RNAcentral lists this long non-coding RNA (1130 nucleotides) under Bemisia tabaci. RNAcentral describes it as "lncRNA ENSSSA2NGG013170". Lineage: Eukaryota; Metazoa; Arthropoda; Insecta; Hemiptera; Aleyrodidae. The record is from RNAcentral.
UUUCAAAAUUUUAAAUUUUAGGGAAUUGGUUAUUCGAAAAAAGAAAAAACUAAUGAAAAUUUACAAAAUCAUGCCACAGAAGAAAGAUUCAGUGUUUAGAAAACCCAAAAAUACGUUGCUACGAAUUUGUAACACAUGCCAUAGAGGGUUAAAGUGCCUGGAGUAAAAAAACCAUUCUUGUUCUUUCUCUCUCCCUACCCCCUCCCUUGCAAAUACAGUGGAGCCGGUAUAUGACGAAGUUCACGGUUCCCAGAAAAACUUCGUUAUAUCCGGAACUUCGUUAAAAGCGGACUCUAUUGAGUGUAUAGGGAGGUUCUAGGGGAAUGAAAAUUACUUCGUUAUAUCCGAAACUUCGUUGAAAGCGGGUUCGUUAUAUACGGGCUCCACUGUAACUGGCAAAAAAGAAAUAAGUCGUAUAGUGAAAUCAAAUCACCAAUAAUAUGAAGCUUAAAUUGGUCAUUAAAUUUUAAAUCUGAAAAACUUGUCAUCUUUGUGAAAGCUUCAAUCCUUCUUAUUUUGUAAAAUGUAUUAGUUCAUUCCAGCUUCAACAUGAUCAUCUCUUUCUAUAAUCAUAUUUUGCAAUAACUAAGUGACAAAUAUGUUCAGCUAAGCAGUUCAUUUCUUGUAAAUUUUCCAGGAAGAAUGGAUGGAUGAAAUGAUGCAAGGGUUGGAAAACGAUGAAAACAAUGAUGAUGAAAGCAGCAGUAAUGAGAGUUCUGAGUUGCGCUCUGUUAAUAAACCAGUAACCCGUGAUAGAAAGAAAAAGGCAAGCCAGCGCCAGCGUAAGAAGGAACAUGAAAGGAAGCAAAGGGAAACCCGGAAAAAGAAAUUGGAAAAAAGGCGAUUGGCCGAUCUUGACAGGGUAAAAUCGUAUUCUAAACUGAUUGAUCAAGCUUUAGAGAUUGAGCAGGCCAAGCAAGUGAAACUUCAGAAGCGGAAAGCUAUCCGAGACAAGGUCCUCACGAAACGUCUCAGUAAGAAUAAAUUUGUGGCACCAGCCCCUGAAUUCAGUCAGAGGGAGGAUAUUACUGGGAAUUUGCGGACUAUCCUCCUGUGGGCAAUAUUGCUGCCCAGGUACUUUCCAAUCUGCAAAAACGCAACAUGAUUGAAGUAACACAGAGACAACUGAA